Non-coding RNA from Gossypium raimondii (Peruvian cotton), 145 nucleotides. The record is from Rfam. Lineage: Eukaryota; Viridiplantae; Streptophyta; Magnoliopsida; Malvales; Malvaceae.
UAUUAAAAAUUUCAUCUAUUUUUACUAUUAAAAACUGACGUUGCUGAUUAAAUAACUAAAUAGUUAUACAUUGUGUGCUAUGUGUGUUUCAUUUUGAUAUACAAAGACCAAUUUUUAGUAUUAGAAAUAGAUGGAGUUUUAAAUA